This is a long non-coding RNA of Anser brachyrhynchus (Pink-footed goose), 1670 nucleotides long. The record is from Ensembl. Lineage: Eukaryota; Metazoa; Chordata; Aves; Anseriformes; Anatidae.
UGUGGAGAUAAACACAUCCUAGUGUCCUGCAUAGGACGAAGGUGCACUGCUGUGAAAUUGCAUUCAGGAGGGGUUGACCUAAUUAGCCAUGGGCAAUCAAAACAAAUUCAGUCAAGACAAAUUCUCAGGAAAACCAGCAUAUGGAAAGUCAGCUCAGGAAUCAUCCCAGUGGAUCCAUGCCAGGAAAGGAGUGUGAUUAGCAGGUCAAAAAGGAGAAUCUCACAUCAGGAGAAACAGGCAGCUCAGCAGUUCAGGGAUAGGGGGUGGAACCUGGGGUUUUCAGAGAAAAAUCCUUGUCCAGAACUGAGUCAUUAUGACAGCAUUAAUGAUAGGGGACAGAAACAGAUGAAUAAUAGGAGAGUGCUUUUACUAUGUCAUUACAGAACAAGGGCAAAAUCCAAAUUAGGCCACUGUUGCUGAAAAUCAGAGGUGAAAGUAUAGAUGUGUUUGAUUAAAACUGGGAAAACAGGCAGGCUGAGGCUGUAGAACAAUGAAUUGUUUUCUCUUGAAAAAAUCCAAAGCCAAAGAAAUGAAAAUGCAGACAUUAGAGGGUCCAAAACAUCGUCUUCCAAGUGCGGUUUUGGACUCAUUUGUGAGAGAAGUUUUAAAAUGCUCAGCAAGUCACUGCAGAUUUUCCUCCAGUCCCUUCAGCACUGUCUUUGAUAGAGAAUCUGGAAGAAGCCAUCUAUGCAAGAAGGAAACUGUUAUGGGGGCUCCAACAGAUGGAGUUUAAGUGCUUCCAUUUUGUAUUUUUCCAUUCCAAGAUGGCCUAGGGAUGUCUGCUCACAGUCUGCUGUGGCACCUCAUCACUUCUGGAUGGAGUGACAUUGUUUUCUUCAACAGUUUGAAUGCCACCGCCAGAGACCGAGGCCCCCAGCCCAGGGCGUGAAGCUGGAGGCAGCUGCCUGUAGUGGCCAUAGUGGCCACCAGUCUGAACAGGACUAUUGGAUGUGACCAGCCUCAGAAACUAUGCCCUCCUCAUAGGUCUGAAAGGCAGAGAAGUACCAUACCCACUGCAGCAUUUGCCUGUACAGAGAUGUGCAGAAAAGCUAAUGGUUUUAACUUCCAUGGCAGGUAGCAUAAGCUGGCCUAAAUGCUUGCUCUGGACAAACCUAACAGGGAUCAAAAGAGACGUUAAUUUAGCCAGGCUUAAUUCACCUCUAGACCUGCCUGUCUGAUCAAGCCAAAAGGAAGUGAGCCACACUGCAUUAGUCACCUUAAUUCUGAACAAGAUUGAAGCUACAGGGCUUAAAGUCUUCCAAGCAAUUUCGUACUCAAUGCCUUGACUCCGUUUGGAUUUGCUUUUCUGCAAGUCUCUGUGUAGAGGACACCUCAGAGGUGAAAGACUUUGGAACAGGGUAAUUUAGGGCCCAGUUUUUACUUGAUUCCAAGGAGAUUUAUGAACCUUGGCCAUUAGAAACAAGUGAGAGUGAUUGUGGAGGAAAAUGACACCUGAGAAGCAAAAGCACAGAGUAGUAAUGGAGAUACUAUCCUGGGAAACCCUACGCUGUUGUCUGCUUCUAACACUGACAAAUAUUCCUCUCCAUACCUCAGUUUCCCUACCUAUAAAAUGAGAAGGAUUUACAUGGCAGAUGUGUGCAAAGCAAAUGGUAUCUCAAUGGAGGGCGUAUGUGAAUAAAAGGUGUCUGCAGCCAAUUUUUUCUUUCUGC